GUGCUUGUUUGAGCUUGACCGCUGUGUAUGUGUCGCUAGUUGGGUAGAGAUUGGAACUAUCCUAUUGUUUCCUUUGUACUGGGUAAGUUAAGUCAGGUGACCUCAAGUAUUUGCCUUGAGGACACAUAAGGCACAGAUACAAACCUACACUAGAGCUGAAGUAACAGAGGAAAAUAUAGCAUUUCACUUCUCGAAAUGUAAGAGACAAUCUAUACAAACACAGGUGGAGAAUCCAACAAUGCAGAACAUGGAUAUUGAUGAGGACACGUAUCCCAACAAGCCCAGUUUGACAUUUUCAGCUAAUUUUCGGUGGUGGAAGAGACCCUCUGGAGUUGCUGCAGUGUGUCUGGGCCUGCUGUGUGUUCUCCUAUUGGCUGGGAUCAUAGGCCUGUCUGUCUAUUAUGGAGUCAUUGAUCAUCACUGCUCAACAGAGAGAGACCAACAAGCCAGUUACAGCCUUCUGACUAAAGAAGGAGAUCAGCAACCCACCAGCUAUCAUAACUUGACUAAAGAUGGACAACAGCUACACAGCAGUUACAACACCUUGACUAAAGAGAGAGACCAGCUACAGACCAGUUACAACACCUUGACUAAAGAGAGAGACGAGCUACAGACCAGUUACAACACCCUGACUAAAGAGAGAGACGAGCUACAGAGCAGUCUCACCACAAGGACCAAAGACAGGGACCAGCAGCAAAAUAGUCUUAAAGUUAGGACUGCUGAAAGGGAGCAAUUACAGAAUAGUCUUAACUCAAGGACCAAAGAGAGAAACCAGUUGCAGAAUAGUUUAAAUAACAGGACCGCAGAGAAAAAACAGUUACAGAAUAGUCUAAAUACCAGGACCACUGAGAGAGACCAGCUACAGAAUAAUCUAAAUACCAGGACCACUGAGAGAAA
Salvelinus sp. IW2-2015 is the source of this 897-nucleotide non-coding RNA. The record is from RefSeq and is a predicted model, not a curated record. Lineage: Eukaryota; Metazoa; Chordata; Actinopteri; Salmoniformes; Salmonidae.